Molecule: ribosomal RNA, 153 nt
Filed under: Parvimonas micra
Lineage: Bacteria; Bacillati; Bacillota; Tissierellia; Tissierellales; Peptoniphilaceae
Description: partial 16S ribosomal RNA
Rfam family: Bacterial small subunit ribosomal RNA
Source: RNAcentral
AAAGAUUUAUCGGUGUAAGAAGGGCUCGCGUCUGAUUAGCUAGUUGGAAGGGUAAAGGCCUACCAAGGCGACGAUCAGUAGCCGGUCUGAGAGGAUGAACGGCCACAUUGGAACUGAGACACGGUCCAAACUCCUACGGGAGGCAGAGUGGGG